GACGAACGCUGGCGGCGUGCUUAACACAUGCAAGUCGAACGGAAAGGCCCUGCUUUUGUGGGGUGCUCGAGUGGCGAACGGGUGAGUAACACGUGAGUAACCUGCCCUUGACUUUGGGAUAACUUCAGGAAACUGGGGCUAAUACCGGAUAGGAGCUCCUGCUGCAUGGUGGGGGUUGGAAAGUUUCGGCGGUUGGGGAUGGACUCGCGGCUUAUCAGCUUGUUGGUGGGGUAGUGGCUUACCAAGGCUUUGACGGGUAGCCGGCCUGAGAGGGUGACCGGCCACAUGGGGACUGAGAUACGGCCCAGACUCCUACGGGAGGCAGCAGUGGGGAAUAUUGCACAAUGGGCGGAAGCCGGAGGCAGCAACGCCGCGUGCGGGAUGACGGCCUUCGGGUUGUAAACCGCCUUCGCCUGUGACGAAGCGUGAGUGACGGUAAUGGGUAAAGAAGCACCGGCUAACUACGUG
Molecule: ribosomal RNA, 468 nt
Filed under: uncultured bacterium
Lineage: Bacteria
Description: partial 16S ribosomal RNA
Rfam family: Bacterial small subunit ribosomal RNA
Source: RNAcentral